RNAcentral lists this ribosomal RNA (159 nucleotides) under Centaurium scilloides. RNAcentral describes it as "5.8S ribosomal RNA". It matches the Rfam family "5.8S ribosomal RNA". Rfam says of the family: 5.8S ribosomal RNA (5.8S rRNA) is a component of the large subunit of the eukaryotic ribosome. It is transcribed by RNA polymerase I as part of the 45S precursor that also contains 18S and 28S rRNA. RNAcentral also lists the same sequence under 5 other names. The record is from RNAcentral. Lineage: Eukaryota; Viridiplantae; Streptophyta; Magnoliopsida; Gentianales; Gentianaceae.
UAACCAAAAUACGACUCUCGGCAACGGAUAUCUCGGCUCUCGCAUCGAUGAAGAACGUAGCGAACUGCGAUACUUGGUGUGAAUUGCAGAAUCCCGUGAACCAUCGAGUCUUUGAACGCAAGUUGCGCCCGAAGCCAUUAGGCCAAGGGCACGUCUGCC